This 460-nucleotide ribosomal RNA is filed under the name uncultured bacterium. Its description in RNAcentral is "partial 16S ribosomal RNA". It matches the Rfam family "Bacterial small subunit ribosomal RNA", at positions 338 to 795 of the family's 1533-position model. The record is from RNAcentral.
CCUACGGGAGGCAGCAGUGAGGAAUAUUGGUCAAUGGACGAGAGUCUGAACCAGCCAAGUAGCGUGAAGGAUGACUGCCCUAUGGGUUGUAAACAUCUUUUAUAUGGGAAUAAAAUGUUCCACGUGUGGGAUUUUGUAUGUACCAUAUGAAUAAGGAUCGGCUAACUCCGUGCCAGCAGCCGCGGUAAUACGGAGGAUCCGAGCGUUAUCCGGAUUUAUUGGGUUUAAAGGGAGCGUAGGUGGAUUGUUAAGUCAGUUGUGAAAGUUUGCGGCUCAACCGGAAAAUUGCAGUUGAAACUGGCAGUCUUGAGUACAGUAGAGGUGGGCGGAAUUCGUGGUGUAGCGGUGAAAUGCUUAGAGAUCACGAAGAACUCCGAUUGCGAAGGCAGUUCACUGGACUGCAACUGACACUGAGGCGCGAAAGUGUGGGUAUCAAACAGGAUUAGAUACCCCUGUAGUC